RNAcentral lists this long non-coding RNA (1605 nucleotides) under Citrus sinensis (sweet orange). RNAcentral's name for it is "long non-coding RNA (CSIN_LNC000801)". The record is from RNAcentral. Lineage: Eukaryota; Viridiplantae; Streptophyta; Magnoliopsida; Sapindales; Rutaceae.
ACAGAACAGAAGACGCCAUGAAUUGAAAGAGCAUUAUUGCCAUCAACCGACCAAUAAUCAAAUCCAUCUGAGACUCUGUACCAAAUCCUUAUCUCUUGUUUUUUGCCUUUCCGUUUUGUGUGAAUGCGUGAUCCAAGACAUAUACGUACCUCACCAUCGUCAUGUAUAUAACAACCUCCACCUCAGCAGCUUCUUCACUCCUCAGAGCUUCUUCUAGGUCACGAUUCGUCUCUUCGCUAUCUUCAUUUAAGUCCUUACCUGCACGUUCUCUUUCUCCUUCUCCUUCUCCUUCUCCUUCAUCGUUGGUCUCUCAGCGAUCUCUCGGCUUCGCCUCGGCCGUUCGAUCCUUCCGCUGCUCCGUCCCUCGCUGGAGCCACCGCGUUGACUGGCGCUCUCCGCUUAGUCUUCGCGCUCAGAUCAGAACCGUUGCUCCUGCCAUCGAACGGCUCGAACGCGCCUUUGCUACUAUGGGUACUGUUUUUCACUUCCGACUUUUCUGGAGUUGUUUUGAUCAGCUUAGUUAGAAUGAAGUAAUUCAAAAACUUUGUUAAAUUGAAUAAAGUUGUUAGAUUUAACUAUAAGUUAAGUCCGCGCUUUAGCUUCUUCAGGUCGCAAUCAACUGGAAACUUGAGAUUUAAAUCUCAUUUAUUAAUUAAUACGCUACUUCUUAUGGUCAGUAACAAAAUUUUAUAUUCAAAAUUUAGGCUUUCUUGUUUUUUUUGUUUCUGGAUCUAGGUGGAUUUAUUGAUGAAUAAAUUACUUUCAUGUGAUAGGAUGAUGCAUAUCAAAAACUAGGAUGAUGUUUCGGUACUUUUUCUUUUUUCAAAAAAUGGAAAUUUAUACUUUCUGUGCUCAAAUAGGAUGCUUUGGAAAUGGCAUUUUGAUCGUAAAAAUCACUUUCGUCUCUUUAAGAUUAAACACUCGAACAAUGAAGAUAAGCACUUUUUAGCUAUUUAAAAGUGCUUUUACUGAUGCCAAAGCAACUUGUAUACACUGAUAGUUAUCUCUGAGAGUAAUUGCAUACACAGAAAGCUAAAACUGGAGAUCACCACAGAGAAGCAUAUUCCCAGCCAGUUCAAUUUCAGCCAGCCGAGCUCUGAACGAGUACAUUUAGUCGUAGAAACGGCACGCAGCCCUAGGCCACUUUUGCGCACCACACGCCCUCUCACCCUCUCUCUUUCAUCUUAACAUAACAGAACAGAAGACGCCAUGAAUUGAAAGAGCAUUAUUGCCAUCAACCGACCAAUAAUCAAAUCCAUCUGAGACUCUGUACCAAAUCCUUAUCUCUUGUUUUUUGCCUUUCCGUUUUGUGUGAAUGCGUGAUCCAAGACAUAUACGUACCUCACCAUCGUCAUGUAUAUAACAACCUCCACCUCAGCAGCUUCUUCACUCCUCAGAGCUUCUUCUAGGUCACGAUUCGUCUCUUCGCUAUCUUCAUUUAAGUCCUUACCUGCACGUUCUCUUUCUCCUUCUCCUUCUCCUUCUCCUUCAUCGUUGGUCUCUCAGCGAUCUCUCGGCUUCGCCUCGGCCGUUCGAUCCUUCCGCUGCUCCGUCCCUCGCUGGAGCCACCGCGUUGACUGGCGCUCUCCGCUUAGUCUUCGCGCU